GACGAACGCUGGCGGCGUGCUUAACACAUGCAAGUCGAACGGUAAGGCCCUUCGGGGUACACGAGUGGCGAACGGGUGAGUAACACGUGGGUGAUCUGCCCUGCACUUCGGGAUAAGCCUGGGAAACUGGGUCUAAUACCGGAUAGGACCACUGCCUGCAUGGGUGGUGGUGGAAAGCUUUUGCGGUGUGGGAGGGGCCCGCGGCCUAUCAGCUUGUUGGAGGGGUGAUGGCCUACCAAGGCGACGACGGGUAGCCGGCCUGAGAGGGUGACCGGCCACACUGGGGCUGAGAUACUGCCCAGACUCCUCCGGGAGGCAGCAGUGGGGAAUAUUGCACAAUGGGCGCAAGCCUGAUGCAGCGACGCCGCGUGAGGGAUGACGGCCUUCGGGUUGUAAACCUCUUUCAGCACCGACGAAGCGCAAGUGACGGUAGGUGCAGAAGAAGGACCGGCCAACUACGUGCCAGCCGCCGCCGUAA
Molecule: ribosomal RNA, 478 nt
Filed under: uncultured bacterium
Lineage: Bacteria
Description: partial 16S ribosomal RNA
Rfam family: Bacterial small subunit ribosomal RNA
Source: RNAcentral